RNAcentral lists this ribosomal RNA (506 nucleotides) under uncultured bacterium. RNAcentral's name for it is "partial 16S ribosomal RNA". It matches the Rfam family "Bacterial small subunit ribosomal RNA", at positions 28 to 523 of the family's 1533-position model. The record is from RNAcentral.
GAUGAACGCUAGCUACAGGCUUAACACAUGCAAGUCGAGGGGUAACGAGAGGAAAGCUUGCUUUCCUUGUCGACGACCGGCGCACGGGUGAGUAACGCGUAUCCAACCUGCCCCCAACUAGGGAAUAACCUUGCGAAAGUAAGACUAAUACCCUAUAAUUUCCUCAGAUGACAUCUGACGAGGAAUAAAGAUUUAUCGGUUGUGGAUGGGGAUGCGUCUGAUUAGCUUGUUGGCGGGGUAACGGCCCACCAAGGCAACGAUCAGUAGGGGUUCUGAGAGGAAGGUCCCCCACAGUGGAACUGGGACACGGUCCAAACUCCUACGGGAGGCAGCAGUGAGGAAUAUUGGUCAAUGGGCGGAAGCUUGAACCAGCCAAGUAGCGUGCAGGAUGACGGCCCUAUGGGUUGUAAACUGCUUUUAUACAGGAAUAAAGUUAGCCACGUGUGGUUAUUUGUAGGUACUGUAUGAAUAAGGACCGGCUAAUUCCGUGCCAGCCGCCGCCGUAA